UGACAGAGAUUUGAAUUCUCCCAGGUAUG
RNAcentral lists this non-coding RNA (29 nucleotides) under Homo sapiens (human). Lineage: Eukaryota; Metazoa; Chordata; Mammalia; Primates; Hominidae. The record is from RNAcentral.